AAAAAUAAACUUCCAUGGCCUCCGCCAUUUCUGACAACGUCAACAAACACGUCGCUACUCGUGAACUCUGAGCUUUCAGAAACCUUCCACUUACAAGGUCCUGAAUACCACAAGAGAGGAGGCGUUCAUAUGGACUCAUCUGGUGAACACGGUGAACACGACCACAUCUGAAGGCACCACAAAUGCACGAGCAUGCAGGUUACUCCAUCCUGCCAACAUUGUCACAUUAUUCUGCAGAUCGACAGCAGAAGUCAGGGUAGAAGAAGACUGCAGCUACCAAAUAUGGAUGUAAACAAAGCAGGUUUUAAAAUAUAUUUGAAGGCAGCAAUAUAUAUGAAUUACAUUGCAUAACCUUUUUGUAGGUAAAGCUACAAACGGUGUCUGAGAGCAGCCUGAACACAACUUGUAGACGAG
This is a long non-coding RNA of Sebastes umbrosus (honeycomb rockfish), 414 nucleotides long. RefSeq lists it as uncharacterized. The record is from RefSeq and is a predicted model, not a curated record. Lineage: Eukaryota; Metazoa; Chordata; Actinopteri; Perciformes; Sebastidae. The transcript is spliced from 3 exons.